This 291-nucleotide long non-coding RNA is filed under the name Phoenix dactylifera (date palm). RNAcentral describes it as "long non-coding RNA (PDAC_LNC019380)". Lineage: Eukaryota; Viridiplantae; Streptophyta; Magnoliopsida; Arecales; Arecaceae. The record is from RNAcentral.
CACUAUUCCAAAGAUAAAAAUGCACUGAAAAUGCAACCUAUAAGUUAAUAUUUCAUAGGUAGUAACUUUUCUAAAUUCCUUUUAACUCUAAACAGCCAUCUUCUAGUGUAGAAGGAAAGUUAUAGAAAUUAAAAGUUAGGGGAAGAAAGAAAGUUAUUUUCUAUUUGUCAUGUUCUGAUGGAUCUAUAAGAGUUCAAACGAUGUGUAUGUAUAUUGUCAGAACGAUGUAAUCUUUGCAUAAUUUUUGUAAACAUUAUAGAAGUUUCGUAACAACUAAUAACUAUAUAAGGG